Pelobates cultripes (western spadefoot toad) is the source of this 235-nucleotide non-coding RNA. Lineage: Eukaryota; Metazoa; Chordata; Amphibia; Anura; Pelobatidae. The record is from the annotation of a GenBank genome assembly.
AAAGAAGAAAAAAUAAUAAGCCAGGAAACCACCAAACAUACAAAUAUGAAGGUAGAGACCUGCUCAUUCAGUGGUCUAUACCCCUAAAGUAAUUGUACUUGUCAUAAAGAGGGGAGAGUACAAACACAGAAGAAUAAGGAAAAAGAAGAGGAGGGAUAACGUGGGUAUUGUACCUUUAAUUGAACAGGGGAUACACAUAAAAUAAAAUAAUGGAAAAAGAAUCGCACUGGCUCUU